RNAcentral lists this ribosomal RNA (543 nucleotides) under uncultured Glomeromycotina. Its description in RNAcentral is "SSU rRNA". It matches the Rfam family "Eukaryotic small subunit ribosomal RNA", at positions 548 to 1098 of the family's 1831-position model. Lineage: Eukaryota; Fungi; Glomeromycota. The record is from RNAcentral.
UUGGAGGGCAAGUCUGGUGCCAGCAGCCGCGGUAAUUCCAGCUCCAAUAGCGUAUAUUAAAGUUGUUGCAGUUAAAAAGCUCGUAGUUGAAUUUCGGGGUUCUACCGUCGGUCGGGCUUUGUCUGUACUGGUGUGUAGAAUUUCUACCUUCUGGGGAACCAUCAUGCUAUUAAUUUAGCGUGGUGGGAAACCAGGACCUUUACCUUGAAAAAAUAGUGUGUUCAAAGCAGGCUUAUGUCUGAAUACAUUAGCGUGGAAUAAUAGAAUAGGACGGUGGUCCUGUUUUGUUGGUUUCUGAAUCACCGUAAUGAUUAAUAGGGAUAGUUGGGGGCAUUAGUAUUCAAUUGUCAGAGGUGAAAUUCUUGGAUUUAUUGAAGACUAACUUCUGCGAAAGCAUUUGCCAAGGAUGUUUUCAUUAAUCAAGAACGAAAGUUAGGGGAUCGAAGACGAUCAGAUACCGUCGUAGUCUUAACCAUAAACUAUGCCGACUAGGGAUCGGACGAUGUUAAUUUUUCUUGACUCGUUCGGCGCCUUACGGGAAAC